Molecule: ribosomal RNA, 292 nt
Filed under: uncultured bacterium
Lineage: Bacteria
Description: partial 16S ribosomal RNA
Rfam family: Bacterial small subunit ribosomal RNA
Source: RNAcentral
GUGUCAGCAGCCGCGGUAAUACGUAGGGUGCGAGCGUUAAUCGGAAUUACUGGGCGUAAAGCGUGCGCAGGCGGUUCGCCGUGUCCGAUGUGAAAGCCCCGGGCUCAACCUGGGAAUGGCAUUGGAAACUGGCGGGCUGGAGUGUGGCAGAGGGGGGUGGAAUUCCACGUGUAGCAGUGAAAUGCGUAGAGAUGUGGAGGAACACCGAUGGCGAAGGCAGCCCCCUGGGCCAACACUGACGCUCAGGCACGAAAGCGUGGGGAGCAAACAGGAUUAGAUACCCGAGUAGUCC